This is a long non-coding RNA of Anarrhichthys ocellatus (wolf-eel), 240 nucleotides long. RefSeq lists it as uncharacterized. The transcript has 2 exons. Lineage: Eukaryota; Metazoa; Chordata; Actinopteri; Perciformes; Anarhichadidae. The record is from RefSeq and is a predicted model, not a curated record.
GAGUCUUUAGUUCUUAUUGAAGUGGCCCAGUUGAGUCUUUAGUUCUUAUUGAAGUGGUCCAGGUGAGUCUUUAGUUCUUAUUGAAGUGGUCCAGGUGAGUCUUUAGUUCUUAUUGACGUGGUCCAGGUGAGUCUUUAGUUCUUAUUGAAGUGGUCCAGGUGAGUCUUUAGUUCUUAUUGAAGUGGCCCAGUUGAAUCUUUAGUUCUUAUUGAAGUGGUCCAGGUGAGUCUUUAGUUCUUG